GAUGAGUAUUUUGUCAAGAGAAAGCUGUAUCCAAAUGUUGAUUUCUACUCUGGGUUCAGAUAUAGCUUUGCAGGUCCUUAUCACACCGCACACAUCAUGGCAAGUCAAUCCAAACAAUUGAUGAGUCCAGAGAAGUUGGAGGCUGUUGAGAAAAAAAACCAUCUCGAAAUUAAACAUCUUCGAUCCAGCUGUAUAUGAGCAAGAAGAGGGAGCAAAAGGAUGUUGGGGAUUGUGUACUUUUGAAGUACCCAUAUGAUUUCCUUUUGUUUUCAUGCCAAGCGAAAGUACAUGGUUGAAAUGUAAGGGCAGUGAUUUCUACACCCCCCUUUGAGGCGCAAAUAUCUCACUUGCUGUAGCAAAAGAGGAUCAAUCUGAACUUCCGAAGCUGUUAGUGUAUGUGAGAUAAGUGCAGAAGAAAUAGAAGAUGG
Long non-coding RNA from Rosa chinensis, 428 nucleotides. RefSeq lists it as uncharacterized. The transcript is spliced from 3 exons. The record is from RefSeq and is a predicted model, not a curated record. Lineage: Eukaryota; Viridiplantae; Streptophyta; Magnoliopsida; Rosales; Rosaceae.